This 352-nucleotide unclassified non-coding RNA is filed under the name soil metagenome. RNAcentral describes it as "partial contains 5.8S ribosomal RNA, internal transcribed spacer 2, and large subunit ribosomal RNA". The stretch from base 1 to 120 matches the Rfam family "5.8S ribosomal RNA", at positions 35 to 154 of the family's 154-position model. The record is from RNAcentral.
GAUGAAGAACGUAGCGAAAUGCGAUAAGUAAUGUGAAUUGCAGAAUUCAGUGAAUCAUCGAAUCUUUGAACGCACAUUGCGCCCGCCAGUAUUCUGGCGGGCAUGCCUGUUCGAGCGUCAUUACAACCCUCAGGCCCCCGGGCCUGGCGUUGGGGAUCGGCGGAGCCCCCCGUGGGCACACGCCGUCCCCCAAAUACAGUGGCGGUCCCGCCGCAGCUUCCAUCGCGUAGUAGCUAACACCUCGCGACUGGAGAGCGGCGCGGCCACGCCGUAAAACACCCAACUCUUCUGAAGUUGACCUCGAAUCAGGUAGGAAUACCCGCUGAACUUAAGAAUAUCAAUAAGCGGAGGA